GGAAGAAUGGCAGAGUGGCCGAAUGCGUCUGUCUUGAAAACAGAAGUUGGGAGACCAACCGGGGGUUCGAAUCCCUCUUCUUCCG
This 85-nucleotide transfer RNA is filed under the name Chlamydiota bacterium. Its description in RNAcentral is "Chlamydiae bacterium (freshwater metagenome) tRNA-Ser". It matches the Rfam family "tRNA". From Rfam's summary of the family: Transfer RNA (tRNA) molecules are approximately 80 nucleotides in length. Their secondary structure includes four short double-helical elements and three loops (D, anti-codon, and T loops). Lineage: Bacteria; Pseudomonadati; Chlamydiota. The record is from RNAcentral.